UCAACUCAAAUAUUGCGAAUCGUUGGUACGCCAGAGUCAAUAGCAGGCCGUUUACCUCGCGAGCCGUGGCGUAAAUCGCUCGAAUCGCGUUUUCCCCGGUAAACAAGAUCCGGUGGAGACCGGCCAUUACGCAGUUGCGAUCGUGUAACGCGAAUAUCGAGAUUAUGGUUAUCGUGGCGAGUCCUUGAGCUAGUAUCGAGGCUUGACCUCGAUUCGGAGAAAAAAAAAAAGAAAUCUGAGCGCGAUGAUAUGGAGGAGAGUUUGAAAAAUUCGUGGAUUCUUUCUUCAGGAUGAUCACAGGUUUCCAUGAACGAGAUUCGGAGAGGAGAAGAAUAAGUGUAAUUUCAUGGGGCGUCGAAAAACCAUGGCAAACAAAACUCGUUUCUUCGAGAUACAACGUUUCAAAUUAUCAAGUUCAACUAAAUAAAGUCGACAAGCUCACAGUCCCUGCUUAUAAUUUGAUAUUUUCGUUGCCCCGACACCCAACACUGUUCUUCAAACAGAGCAAAUCCACAGAAGGAAUCUCAUAGAAGACCGAAUAAAGAACAAAUAGACAAGCCUUAAUAAUUGUUUACUAGAGUCGCAAAGAAAAUAAUGUGAUUAAUUCCUUUACUACUUAAUUAUUUAAUAAAUAUACAAAUAAUACACAAUAAGAAUGACAAUAUAUAAUAAAAAUAAAAACUAUAAUUUAAUUUUCAACAUCUCAAAUACAAUCGAAUAAUGGACCUAAGACAAAUGAAUAAAAAAAGAAGCAAAAGAAUCAACAACCCUUAAUCCAAAGAAAAGAACAACAAGUAUCACGAUAAUUAAAAAAAAGGGAGGAAAAUCAAUUAAUAAUAAAUUUCUACAAAACAUCGCACCUCUUCUCAUAACGAAUCCUUACGCAACGAAUCCUACAACUCCGCUCUCUUUCCCCUACAACACAAACGUUCACCGAACCAGUUUACACCCGUUCCCCCUAUUCAUCCUAAUCUCCGUGGACAGUGGUUUCAACGCGAAUCAACGCGACGGAGAGACAUGGAAAAGGCAACCGAGCGAGGUGGAACACGCCGCAUAGGAGCACCGUAGGUAAUUUAAAAAUGAGAAUUACGAGGCAUAGCGCCGCUCGUAACCCUCGAGCCAUGGAAUGUCAACGGUAACUACCGUCGUACGUAGGAAUAAUAUCGACUUCUUUACGGGUCGUUGUAACAGUACAAGGGCCCCUGAGUGAGCUUCGCUCCCCGCCGUGAAUCGUCGUGAAGAGAAUGUCGGCUGCCCCCCUUCUCCUCCCUCCCCCCGGCCCGUCCCGCGGUAUAUACCUACGCAACCGUGCCAGAUGGAGAAAACAAAUAUAGUGUGAUCGCUUAACUGUUGCUGUCUAAAGUGACUUUCGUUCGGCCGGGGCACGGCCGAGUCACGUGUUCGAAUAUUUCGUGGGGGGAGGAUUGUUCGGGGAACGGGGCCAUGGACGAGUCGCGAGGGUGUCGGGGAUGAUGUAUACAAUAAUUCGAGCGAUGUUGAAUCUGGGCUGAAUAUUUUCGAGACGAGAAAUAAAUUUCACGAUGUCACUAA
Molecule: long non-coding RNA, 1551 nt
Filed under: Apis mellifera (honey bee)
Lineage: Eukaryota; Metazoa; Arthropoda; Insecta; Hymenoptera; Apidae
Description: uncharacterized LOC113218875
Source: RNAcentral